RNAcentral lists this ribosomal RNA (508 nucleotides) under uncultured bacterium. RNAcentral's name for it is "partial 16S ribosomal RNA". It matches the Rfam family "Bacterial small subunit ribosomal RNA", at positions 30 to 523 of the family's 1533-position model. The record is from RNAcentral.
AUUGAACGCUGGCGGCAUGCCUAACACAUGCAAGUCGAACGGCAGCACGACCUAGCUUGCUAGGUUGGUGGCGAGUGGCGCACGGGUGAGUAAUGCGUAGGAAUAUACCUUAAAGUGGGGGACAACCUGGGGAAACUCAGGCUAAUACCGCAUGAGCUCUACGGAGGAAAGCUGGGGACCUUUCGGGGCCUGGCGCUUUAAGAAUAGCUUACGUCCGAUUAGUUAGUGGGUGGGGUAAAGGCUUACCAAGACGAUGAUCGGUAGCUGGUCUGGGAGGAUGAUCAGCCACACUGGGACUGAGACACGGCCCAGACUCCUACGGGAGGCAGCAGUGGGGAAUAUUGGACAAUGGGGGAAACCCUGAUCCAGCGAUGCCGCGUGUGUGAAGAAGGCCUGCGGGUUGUAAAGCACUUUCGGUGGGGAGGAGGACUUAUAGGUUAAGAGCUAAUGAGUUGGACGUUACCCACAUAAGAAGCACCGGCUAACUCCGUGCCAGCCGCCGCCGUAA